UGACUUGCUUGAUACAUGAAAUUAAUUUAUAUCUUGUUUUUUUGACAAAAAAGAAUAUAUAUAUAUAUAUCUCCAUAUCAGGGAGCUAAUUGGCAAUUAUAGAAAUUCUGUUAAAAAGUUUCUCAAGUCCGAGCCAUAACUGCUUUUCCUUCUUGAGCAAAGAGUAGGAAAAAUACAUUAGAACCUGAACCCAACAAGAGUUUGGUAACAGCUGAGUGAAAGCAGAUUACUAAGUAAAAAUAUGAAGCCACGUGUACUUUUUGGUGGGAGCGGAACUCUUAAUUGU
This 286-nucleotide long non-coding RNA is filed under the name Populus trichocarpa (black cottonwood). RNAcentral describes it as "long non-coding RNA (PTRI_LNC000197)". The record is from RNAcentral. Lineage: Eukaryota; Viridiplantae; Streptophyta; Magnoliopsida; Malpighiales; Salicaceae.